This 478-nucleotide ribosomal RNA is filed under the name Bacillaceae bacterium. RNAcentral describes it as "bacterial SSU rRNA". It matches the Rfam family "Bacterial small subunit ribosomal RNA", at positions 60 to 517 of the family's 1533-position model. The record is from RNAcentral. Lineage: Bacteria; Bacillati; Bacillota; Bacilli; Caryophanales; Bacillaceae.
AGUCGAGCGAAUGGNUUAGAGAGCUUGCUCUUAUGAAGUUAGCGGCGGACGGGUGAGUAACACGUGGGUAACCUGCCCAUAAGACUGGGAUAACUCCGGGAAACCGGGGCUAAUACCGGAUAACAUUUUGAACUGCAUGGUUCGAAAUUGAAAGGCGGCUUCGGCUGUCACUUAUGGAUGGACCCGCGUCGCAUUAGCUAGUUGGUGAGGUAACGGCUCACCAAGGCAACGAUGCGUAGCCGACCUGAGAGGGUGAUCGGCCACACUGGGACUGAGACACGGCCCAGACUCCUACGGGAGGCAGCAGUAGGGAAUCUUCCGCAAUGGACGAAAGUCUGACGGAGCAACGCCGCGUGAGUGAUGAAGGCUUUCGGGUCGUAAAACUCUGUUGUUAGGGAAGAACAAGUGCUAGUUGAAUAAGCUGGCACCUUGACGGUACCUAACCAGAAAGCCACGGCUAACUACGUGCCAGCAGCCG